RNAcentral lists this ribosomal RNA (812 nucleotides) under uncultured bacterium. RNAcentral's name for it is "bacterial SSU rRNA". It matches the Rfam family "Bacterial small subunit ribosomal RNA", at positions 8 to 796 of the family's 1533-position model. The record is from RNAcentral.
AGAGUUUGAUCCUGGCUCAGAACGAACGCUGGCGGCGUGGAUUAGGCAUGCAAGUCGAACGCGAAAGGGGAGCAAUCCCCGAGUAGAGUGGCGAACGGGUGAGUAACGCGUGAAGAACCUGCCUUCAACAGGGGGAUAACACUCCCAACGGGGUGCUAAAACCGCAUGAGACCACAGGUCCGCAUGGACCAGGGGUCAAAGGUGGCCUCUACUUGUAAGCUACCGGUUGAAGAUGGCUUCGCGUCCCAUUAGCUAGUUGGCGGUGUAAAAGACCACCAAGGCGACGAUGGGUAGCUGGUCUGAGAGGAUGGUCAGCCACACUGGGACUGAGAUACGGCCCAGACUCCUACGGGAGGCAGCAGUCGAGAGGCUUUGGCAAUGGGGGAAACCCUGACCAAGCGACGCCGCGUGGAGGAUGAAGGCCCUUGGGUUGUAAACUCCUUUUGUCGGGGAAGAAACGCGAUCAGGUGAACAAUCUGGUCGUUUGACGGUACCCGGCGAAUAAGCUCCGGCUAACUCCGUGCCAGCAGCCGCGGUAACACGGGGGGAGCAAGCGUUGUUCGGAAUCACUGGGCGUAAAGGGCGUGUAGGCGGUCAGGUAAGUGAGACGUGAAAUGCCCCGGCUUACCCGGGGACCUGCGUCUCAUACUGCUUGGCUUGAGUACGGGAGAGGGUGUGGGAAUUCCUGGUGUAGCGGUGAAAUGCGUAGAUAUCAGGAGGAACACCGGUGGCGAAGGCGCACACCUGGCCCGAUACUGACGCUGAGGCGCGAAAGCUAGGGGAGCAAACGGGAUUAGAUACCCUAGUAGUCC